CCCAACACUGACGCAAUUAACCCACAGCCAGGACACCACGGGCCGCUUCUCGCCCCGCCCGGCCUCUGACCCUCAGCAGCGGCUGCUGGCCCCAGCCCGCAGGGCACCGGCUUCGACUCUCCCACGCAGCCAACAGCAGCGCCGCAGCCCGCCCGGCCGUCCCGCGUGCAGUCAGCGCAGUGCAGCUGUGACCUGGGGCUGAUAGUCAGGGCAGCUGGAUACGGGCUGGCGGCGCCGGGGGGGGGGGGCGCAAACCAGGCUGUCAAGGGGCCUCUAAACGGCCUGGAGCUCACCAUCUCGGCUCUAGCUGUAAAGUCAAACCUUACAGGGCGAAGGGUUCCCACAUACGCACCUGGGUGCUUGCUGCCUGGCUGGAGCCCUGGGCUUGAGCCGCUCACAUAUUCAAGAGCUGUACUGUUGGCCACGAGACCCACAUGAACAAAACUAGGAACGGACUAUACAGAGAAAGUAACUAUACAAAGUGCUGUCAAAUGUACAGAUACUCCAAAACAGAAGGACAUGGACCUGAGGAUAGGAAAAAGCAAUAAGGAGAUAUUUGAAAAAGAAAACGUCUUUGUAACUAUCUCUACUGUCAUGAAUAAAACAUAUUACAUGUA
This is a long non-coding RNA of Mauremys reevesii (Reeves's turtle), 617 nucleotides long. RefSeq lists it as uncharacterized. Lineage: Eukaryota; Metazoa; Chordata; Testudines; Geoemydidae. The record is from RefSeq and is a predicted model, not a curated record. The transcript has 3 exons.